GUGUGGAGUCAUAUGGAGGUCAGACCAGGAAGCCAAAUAUUGGUAAGAUGAAGUGGAAGCUCAUCCUGAUAAUCAUUAGGUGUGUCACUAACCACAGUUACUGCCAACAGAAGGAGCAUUGUCCGAAAAUGGAUAAAAGAAGACAUAAGAAUGAUGGACACAGAUAGCUCCUGUCUACAAAACCCUCGGACAAAUUAACUCAGAACCAUGAGGAUUUUAUGCAAGGGAACAUGACAUGGAAGAUUGGUAGAAUACAUAGAAGUGAAGGAAGAUUGAGACAUCGAAGACUUGAACAGCAACGUGUGAUCAACCAUCACAAAGAGAAGAGUCUAACUUUGAAACUCAGAGAAAAAUUGAUUUGUCUGAAUGAAUGUGGUCAGCUCACUGGGUAUAGGUCGUAUUGAGAUAAAUGAGUUCACUAUGUGCUUACUAAGGACUAAACAGUUACUAAUAAAGAGGAAUUUUGUUAGAUUCUAAUUUGGCUGUAUGCCCUUUAUGUCAUGA
Molecule: non-coding RNA, 504 nt
Organism: Chiloscyllium plagiosum (whitespotted bambooshark)
Lineage: Eukaryota; Metazoa; Chordata; Chondrichthyes; Orectolobiformes; Hemiscylliidae
Source: RefSeq, a predicted model, not a curated record